GACGAACGCUGGCGGCGUGCUUAACACAUGCAAGUCGAACGGAAAGGCCCUGCUUUUGUGGGGUGCUCGAGUGGCGAACGGGUGAGUAACACGUGAGUAACCUGCCCUUGACUGUGGGAUAACUUCAGGAAACUGGGGCUAAUACCGGAUAGGAGCUCCUGCUGCAUGGGGGGGGUUGGAAAGUUUCGGCGGUUGGGGAUGGACUCGCGGCUUAUCAGCUUGUUGGUGGGGUAGUGGCUUACCAAGGCUUUGACGGGUAGCCGGCCUGAGAGGGUGACCGGCCACAUUGGGCCUGCGAUACGGCCCAGACUCCUACGGGAGGCAGCAGUGGGGAAUAUUGCACAAUGGGCGGAAGCCUGAUGCAGCAACGCCGCGUGCGGGAUGACGGCCUUCGGGUUGUAAACCGCUUUCGCCUGUGACGAAGCGUGAGUGACGGUAAUGGGUAAAGAAGCACCGGCUAACUACGUG
RNAcentral lists this ribosomal RNA (468 nucleotides) under uncultured bacterium. RNAcentral describes it as "partial 16S ribosomal RNA". It matches the Rfam family "Bacterial small subunit ribosomal RNA", at positions 28 to 507 of the family's 1533-position model. The record is from RNAcentral.